AUUGAACGCUGGCGGAAUGCUUUACACAUGCAAGUCGAACGGUAGAGGGGGCAACCCCUCGAGAGUGGCGAACGGGUGAGUAAUAUGUCGGAACGUGCCCAGUCGUGGGGGAUAACGUAGCGAAAGUUACGCUAAUACCGCAUACGAUCUAAGGAUGAAAGCGGGGGAUCGCAAGACCUCGCGCGAUUGGAGCGGCCGAUAUCAGAUUAGGUAGUUGGUGGGGUAAAGGCUCACCAAGCCAACGAUCUGUAGCUGGUCUGAGAGGACGACCAGCCACACUGGAACUGAGACACGGUCCAGACUCCUACGGGAGGCAGCAGUAGGGAAUUUUGGACAAUGGACGCAAGUCUGAUCCAGCCAUUCCGCGUGCAGGAUGAAGGCCCUCGGGUUGUAAACUGCUUUUGUACGGAACGAAAAGGUCUCUCUUAAUACGGGGGGCUCAUGACGGUACCGUAAGAAUAAGCACCGGCUAACUACGUGCCAGCCGCCGCGGUAA
This 496-nucleotide ribosomal RNA is filed under the name uncultured bacterium. Its description in RNAcentral is "partial 16S ribosomal RNA". It matches the Rfam family "Bacterial small subunit ribosomal RNA", at positions 30 to 523 of the family's 1533-position model. The record is from RNAcentral.